GAGACCGCAAGUUUUAUGCAUAUCAGUGGUGGCAAGUACAAAGGGCGUGUGCUGGGUGCCGGUAGUUUAUCAUCAACCUUUGUGAAAGGUCCAACCGGCUAUAUUCAGACUGAGACGUCUUCUUCUUAUGCUAGUAUGGGUCGAUCUUAUCGUCCGUCGAUAGAUAAUCUUGACCAGUUAAAGAAGCAAUGGGCAAGUGAGCAAGAAGAAAAGACACAACAGCUGAUACAAGCCGCAAUUGAUAAAUUGAAUGAGGAAUGGAAACAAAAGUUUCAAGAGCAGCA
This 284-nucleotide long non-coding RNA is filed under the name Cicer arietinum (chickpea). Its description in RNAcentral is "long non-coding RNA (CARI_LNC003406)". The record is from RNAcentral. Lineage: Eukaryota; Viridiplantae; Streptophyta; Magnoliopsida; Fabales; Fabaceae.